Long non-coding RNA from Pomacea canaliculata, 855 nucleotides. RefSeq lists it as uncharacterized. Lineage: Eukaryota; Metazoa; Mollusca; Gastropoda; Architaenioglossa; Ampullariidae. The record is from RefSeq and is a predicted model, not a curated record. The transcript has 4 exons.
UCGGAUUUACCUGAGACGUGUUGCAUAGGCGUAGCGAAUCGAGCGAAGCUAGCCAAUCUAGCCGGAAGUGUAAAGAGCGCGCCCCUACAAGCUAGCGAACCUAGACCCCUAGCGUAGCAAAGCUAGCGGCCGCUGGAGGUCCUACGCUUGCUAUUCAAAAUGGCCGACUUUGUUGUCGGUUUCAAGUUUGCAGAUGAGAGUUUCUUUGAUGCUCCCGUUAAAAAGGAGUAUUGGACCGGAAACAAAGUGAAAUGAAUGUGGGAAAUCAAUGGACCAAGGGGCAUACUUUUCCUCAUGGACACUUAUGCCAAACAUAAGGAACAAUUUGCAAUUCCAACUUGAAAAUAGAGGUAUGGAAGAGGAUUGCUUCGGAAAUGGCAGCCUCAGGAUGCCACUUUGCUCCAGCAGCACUUGAGAAAAAAAUGGAGCAAUAUGAAAAUAUGGUACAAAGCUAUAUUAGAUUUCAACAAGAAAACGGGCCAGGGAAGAUCACGAUGGAAUUUCUAUUCCAGAAUGGCUGAAAUCUUGGAAGGAGACCCUUUGUUCAUCCCACCACUGACAUCAUCACUGGGGGGUGUAAAAGUAAACACUCUCUCCGAGAUCUCCAAUACCCAGCAAUGUGCCACCCCUACAAAGAAGCAAGAACAGCAAGGAAUGUCUCAGGAGACUCCUCACCUCUCCCAGUAUCGGUUUAUUAGUACGACCCUACUGAAUAAAGGAUAUUGUCACUGUCUUGGUUUUAGUACUAAAUAAAAAAACUUACACGCCCUUACAAAUGGUUUUUUUUUCACUGUGACCGUUAAAAACCAAAAAAUCCUGAUUUACCUGAUAAUCAUGUACACAAUGAAGCACACU